Long non-coding RNA from Octopus sinensis (East Asian common octopus), 162 nucleotides. RefSeq lists it as uncharacterized. The transcript is spliced from 3 exons. Lineage: Eukaryota; Metazoa; Mollusca; Cephalopoda; Octopoda; Octopodidae. The record is from RefSeq and is a predicted model, not a curated record.
GUUGAAACAACUUCUGGCUUUGUAGUACAAAUGUCUUGUUAUCAAAAGUUCUGAAUUAAAAUCUUCCAUCCAAAUUUUAGUCACAAUCUAAGUUCCUAACGCUAGCUUAAUGUUAACUAAAUUAUUUUACUAAAUUCUUUGUUAUAUUUAAAAUAAUUGAAA